UACAUUCUCUCCUGGUGAUUUGUGACAUUUUGGUGUACCUAUCACUUAAGCAGUAUACACUGUACCCUAUCUGUAGUCUUUUAUCCCUCACUUCCCUCCUGUCCCUUCCCCCUGA
Long non-coding RNA from Sapajus apella (tufted capuchin), 115 nucleotides. RefSeq lists it as uncharacterized. The transcript is spliced from 3 exons. Lineage: Eukaryota; Metazoa; Chordata; Mammalia; Primates; Cebidae. The record is from RefSeq and is a predicted model, not a curated record.